AGAGUUUGAUCCUGGCUCAGAACGAACGCUGGCGGCGUGGUUUAGGCAUGCAAGUCGAACGAGAAAGUUUCCUUCGGGAAACGAGUAGAGUGGCGAAAGGGUGAGUAAUGCAUAGGCAACCUGCCCGCGAGUCUGGAAUAACUCGCCGAAAGGCGUGCUAAUGCCGGAUAGUAUCUCGAGACCGCAUGAUCUCGAGCUUAAAGCGGGGGCCUUCGGGCCUCGUGCUCGCGGAGGGGCUUGUGUCCUAUUAGCUUGUUGGUGAGGUAACGGCUCACCAAGGCGACGAUGGGUAACCGGCCUUGGAGGGUGACCGGUCACACUGGGACUGAGUCACUGCCCAGACUCCUACGGGAGGCUGCAGUCGAGAAUCUUCUGCAAUGGACGAAAGUCUGACAGAGCGACGCCGCGUGGGGGAAGAAGGCUUUCGAGUUGUAAACCCCUGUCACAGGUUAAGAAGGGUGUGUCGGUUAAUACCCGGCACUUCCGGACAAAGGCCUGAGAGGAAGACACGGCUAACUCCGUGCCAGCAGCCGCGGUAAUUCGGAGGUGUCAAGCGUUGUUCGGAACCACUGGGCGUAAAGAGCGCGUAGGCUGCAAUGUAAGUCGGUAGUGAAAGCCCCCGGCUCAACCGGGGAAUUGCUUCCGAUACUGUAUUGCUUGAGUGCGAGAGGGGUGAGUGGAACUCUUGGUGGAGCGGUGAAAUGCGUAGAUAUCAGGAGGAACGCCAGAGGCGAAGGCGACUCACUGGCUCGUGUCUGACGCUGAGGCGCGAAAGCUAGGGUAGCGAAAGGGAUUAGAUACCCCUGUAGUCCUAGCCGUAAACGAUGGGCACUAAGUAGGAGGAUCCCACGAUUUUCCUGCCGAAGCUAACGCAUUAAGUGCCCCGCCUGGGGAGUACGGUCGCAAGACUAAAACUCAAAGGAAUUGACGGGGGCUCGCACAAGCGGUGGAGCAUGUGGCUCAAUUCGAUUCGACGCGAAGAACCUUACCCGGGUUUGACAUGUAAGUGGUACUGAUCUGAAAGGUGAGGGACCCCGUAAGGGGAGCUUACACAGGUGUUGCAUGGCUGUCGUCAGCUCGUGCCGUGAGGUGUUGGGUUAAGUCCCGUAACGAGCGAAACCCUUGUCCUUAGUUGCCAUCACUUCGGGUGGGGACUCUAGGGAGACUGCCGGUGUCAAACCGGAGGAAGGUGGGGACGACGUCAAGUCAUCAUGGCCCUUAUGCCCGGGGCUGCACACGUGCUACAAUGGCCGGUACAAAGGGAAGCUAGACCGCAAGGUGGAGCCAAUCCCGUAAAGCCGGCCCCAGUUCGGAUUGGAGGCUGAAACUCGCCUCCAUGAAGUUGGAAUCGCUAGUAAUCGCGGAUCAGCCAUGCCGCGGUGAAUGUGUUCCUGAGCCUUGUACACACCGCCCGUCAAGCCACGAGAGCUGGUAGUGCCCAUAGUCGCUGUCCUAACCUCUAAGGUAACGAGGAGGAAGGAGGUGCCGAAGGUAAGACCAGUGAUUGGGACUAAGUCGAAACAAGGU
This 1527-nucleotide ribosomal RNA is filed under the name metagenome. Its description in RNAcentral is "bacterial SSU rRNA". It matches the Rfam family "Bacterial small subunit ribosomal RNA". The record is from RNAcentral.